CCUACGGGGGGCAGCAGUGAGGAAUAUUGGUCAAUGGGCGGAAGUCUGAACCAGCCAAGUAGCGUGCGGGAUGAAGGCCCUACGGGUCGUAAACCGCUUUUGCACGGGGAUAACACCCUCCACUUGUGGAGGUCUGCAGGUACCGUGCGAAUAAGGGCCGGCUAAUUCCGUGCCAGCAGCCGCGGUAAUACGGAAGGCCCGAGCGUUAUCCGGAUUUAUUGGGUUUAAAGGGUGCGUAGGCGGGUUAUCAAGUCAGCGGUAAAAUCGUGGAGCUCAACUCCAUCCAGCCGUUGAAACUGAUGAUCUUGAGUGGGCGAGAAGUAUGCGGAAUGCGUGGUGUAGCGGUGAAAUGCAUAGAUAUCACGCAGAACUCCGAUUGCGAAGGCAGCAUACCGGCGCCCGACUGACGCUGAAGCACGAAAGCGUGGGUAUCGAACAGGAUUAGAUACCCGGGUAGUC
Molecule: ribosomal RNA, 459 nt
Filed under: uncultured bacterium
Lineage: Bacteria
Description: partial 16S ribosomal RNA
Rfam family: Bacterial small subunit ribosomal RNA
Source: RNAcentral